This 646-nucleotide small RNA is filed under the name Arabidopsis thaliana (thale cress). RNAcentral describes it as "ATSL170550". The record is from RNAcentral. Lineage: Eukaryota; Viridiplantae; Streptophyta; Magnoliopsida; Brassicales; Brassicaceae.
UAUGUCUUUUGGCAGUAGUUGCUUAAACUUGAGCCUUUGGUUUCUAUGUUUGGUAUGGAAUAUUGCUUGGCUUGUAUGUGUGGUCUCUACUCUUUUGCAGAUUACUUGAGGUGUCACACUCAGAGAAAAAGGGGGUGAUUGAAGAAACAGAGUGUCUGAAGUUCUACAAGCGUGUCUGAAACAACGCAGAGCAGAACAGAGGAACAGAGGAAGCGGGAAAGUAGCAGUUGCUUUUGCGAGCGUGGCAUGUUGAUUGGAGUGAAGGAAAGGCGUAUCACUUUAGACAAAGGAGACAAAUGCGUCAGACAUAGGACGUGUGCCUAGUGUCAAGAUAAUGAUGAGGAGCUACACUUGAACCUGCUGGAUAAAGUAGAGCAUCCUGUCUUUUCCGAGAAACUACAUAAGAGAAGUUUUGGUCUCUUAUUAGGGUUAGCCACUUUACUUGAGAAAAGUGGAAGAGAAGAAAAGUUAAGUAGAACUUGUUCUUGUGGAUUUCAUUGGUGAGUGAACAAAGAGAGCACACGGCUGUUGCUGUGUUUGUGAGCUGGGUAGUUUUUAGGUUCUGACAGUAGCAAAUCAGGUUGUUGAUGUUGCAUAAUACUGUCCAAACUUAUCUGUGAUUGAUCAGUUUGUUCUAAUAAAAUAU